This is a non-coding RNA of Poecilia reticulata (guppy), 547 nucleotides long. The record is from RefSeq and is a predicted model, not a curated record. NCBI's taxonomy places the organism in Eukaryota, Metazoa, Chordata, Actinopteri, Cyprinodontiformes, Poeciliidae.
GGGAGGCCCAGACUUCCCUCUCCCCAGCCACUUCUUCCAGCUCCUCCUGGGGAAUCCCAAGGCGUUCCCAGGCCAUCCAGGAAUCAACCUUGAUUCAACCAUUGCCUUAAUGUUAAUAAUGAAGUCCAAUCCUUUCUGGGUGUGCCGGGAUGUGAGACUGGGCGCCUUCCACGAUUGGUGGACCAAUUUACAGCUGAAACGCCUCUGAAGCCUCGCGUGCCUGUCGGGGUUUCCUAUCGAGCUGCGCCGGCUCUACAUCUGGACACACGCAGAAACUGAUUUGAGACUUUUCAAGAUUCCACGGGAACAUGGGCUUCCAUUACACCUCAGCAGAAACAGGCUGAUCUCCUCCAUGCCAUGCUGCAUUCAUGCAAAAGGAGCCCCAAUCAAGUACUCAAGUGUUGUGAUGGCCAAAUCCAUGGCCACACUUGAAGUCCGAAGUCGGUAACUCUUUUAUGCAUAAUUUAGUUUUCACAAUUUAUUUUUUCACACACUAUAGUUUCAGUAAAACAUUUAUUAGAUUUGGAUACAUUUGUUCUUUUUGUUA